CCUUAACCGUUGGGGUGCCCGUCAGGGCUGAGACUCGCGCAAGCGUAAACCCAUCGAACCUGAUCCGGGCAAUGCCGGCGGAGGGAACGGUCUCAUAAGCAGA
RNAcentral lists this non-coding RNA (103 nucleotides) under Candidatus Rhodobacter oscarellae. Its description in RNAcentral is "Candidatus Rhodobacter lobularis TPP riboswitch aptamer (THI element)". It matches the Rfam family "TPP riboswitch aptamer (THI element)". From Rfam's summary of the family: Vitamin B(1) in its active form thiamin pyrophosphate (TPP) is an essential coenzyme that is synthesised by coupling of pyrimidine and thiazole moieties in bacteria. The record is from Rfam by way of RNAcentral. Lineage: Bacteria; Pseudomonadati; Pseudomonadota; Alphaproteobacteria; Rhodobacterales.